Long non-coding RNA from Oncorhynchus masou masou (cherry salmon), 1585 nucleotides. RefSeq lists it as uncharacterized. The record is from RefSeq and is a predicted model, not a curated record. NCBI's taxonomy places the organism in Eukaryota, Metazoa, Chordata, Actinopteri, Salmoniformes, Salmonidae. The transcript has 4 exons.
AGUAGGGAAGUGUUGAAGACAACCGCGCCCUUCACAGACUGGCCACCGUUAGAACGCUAAAUGAAUCAAAGAUCGAGGGUGAAAAUGGAAAGGGCUAAAGGCGCUAAGAAAAGUUUCAUCUAGUGGCAAGAAACAUGUUCCCCCAAGAUUGCUUCAAUGCACUAUGAGGGAGACAUGAACGAUGCAGACAAAUACAAAGCAGAGACGUGGCGCCCUCCUUAGCUGUGUGAUCUAAAAGCUCCGGCAGCAGUACAGCGACGCUCCCGCAGCCACCACAGGGACUUCAAGACAGAGUCGAGAGCAGGAAAAACUUUGAAGAGUCAAUGAUGCAUCUGCAAGUGCCCCAAACGAGAGAAACACUUAAAAUGAGGCAUGCAUGCUAGGAAUGUCUGGUCAGCUAAGUGACAUCACAGCCCUGAAGGGUGGAGGGGGACCGGUGAGUUGGACACAUUUCAGUGACAUGCCACUCCUUACUGCCAUGCAGUGGUCGAUAAGUGUACAAAACAUUAAGAACACCAAGUUGCUCCCUGCUGUUUGUCCCCCCUCAGAACAGCCUCAACUCGUCAGGGAAUGGACUCUACAAGGUGUCUAAAGAGUUCCACAGGGACACUGGACCAUGUUGACUCCAAUGCUUCACACAGUUGUGUCAAGUUGGCUGGAUGUCCAUUGGGUGGUGGAGCAUUAUUGAUAUACAUGGGAAACGGUUGAGCGUGGAAGAGCCAUCAGUGUUGCAGUUCUUGACACACUCAAAACGCCUGGCACCUACCAUGACCCGUUCAUAGGCAAUUAAAUAUUUUGUCUUGCCCAUUCACCCUCUGAAUGUCACACAAUCCAUGUCUCCAGGCGUUACAAUCCAUCUUUAACCCCGUCUCCUCCCCUUCAUCUACACUGAUUGAAGUGGAUUGAACAAGUGACAUGAGGGAUCAUAACUUUCACCUGGUCAGUUGGUCAUGGAAUGAGCAGCAUUAUUGUUAGUACAAGUUCGCCAUUUAUUAGCCUCUUUUAUCCAAAGUGUCUUCGUCAUGCGCGCAUACAAUUUUUACAUAUGUUUGGUCCUGGGAAUAAUUGGCUUAGGAUUUAUUCUCCACAGGGACGCUGGCCCAUGUUCAAAUCAAAUUUUAUGUCACAAGCCGCGAAUACAACAGGUAGACCUUAGUGAAAUGCUUACUUGGAAGCCCUUAAACCAACAAUACUAAAAGAAAAGAGCUACAAAAUAACAGUGCUAUAUACGGGGGUACCGAGUCAAUGUUCGGGGGUAGAAGUUAGUUGAGGUAAUAUGUACAUGUAGGUAGGGGUGAAAUGACUAUGCAAGUUGGAUAAUAUUACCCCCAAUGUUUUCUGUCCCUCCCUUCAGUACACAGAUAUCCCUGGGCCCAAGAAGAAACUAAUGAAAAACAACAAAACAAGUGUUGUGUUGACAGAGCCAGGACGUCAGUGAUUUCUUUCCUCUUGGUGUUUUUAAAUGAAACCUUGCGAAUUCGGUUUCAAGUACUUGAGAGUACAGUGAUUAUGCAUCUAGCUUUAUCUGCGACUUUCAGAAGAUCAAUAAUUGAAUCUUAAAAAAAGAAAGCAGGAUGAAGAUUUU